Molecule: ribosomal RNA, 466 nt
Filed under: uncultured bacterium
Lineage: Bacteria
Description: partial 16S ribosomal RNA
Rfam family: Bacterial small subunit ribosomal RNA
Source: RNAcentral
GACGAACGCUGGCGGCGUGCUUAACACAUGCAAGUCGAACGGAAAGGCCCUGCUUGCAGGGUACUCGAGUGGCGAACGGGUGAGUAACACGUGGGUGAUCUGCCCUGCACUUCGGGAUAAGCUUGGGAAACUGGGUCUAAUACCGGAUAGGAGCCAUCUUUAGUGUGGUGGUUGGAAAGUUUUUUCGGUGUAGGAUGAGCUCGCGGCCUAUCAGCUUGUUGGUGGGGUAAUGGCCUACCAAGGCGGCGACGGGUAGCCGGCCUGAGAGGGUGUACGGCCACAUUGGGACUGAGAUACGGCCCAGACUCCGACGGGAGGCAGCAGUGGGGAAUAUUGCACAAUGGGCGCAAGCCUGAUGCAGCGACGCCGCGUGGGGGAUGAAGGCCUUCGGGUUGUAAACUCCUUUCGCUAGGGAAGAAGCGUUGUUGUGACGGUACCUAGAUAAGAAGCACCGGCUAACUACGUG